RNAcentral lists this ribosomal RNA (380 nucleotides) under uncultured marine group I thaumarchaeote. Its description in RNAcentral is "bacterial SSU rRNA". It matches the Rfam family "Archaeal small subunit ribosomal RNA", at positions 471 to 851 of the family's 1478-position model. RNAcentral also lists the same sequence under 1 other name. The record is from RNAcentral. Lineage: Archaea; Thermoproteati; Nitrososphaerota.
UAAAACCAGCACCUCAAGUGGUCAGGAUGAUUAUUGGGCCUAAAGCAUCCGUAGCCUGCCCUGUAAGUUUUCGGUUAAAUCUGUAUGCUCAACAUACAGGCCGCCGGGAAUACUGCAGGGCUAGGGAGUGGGAGAGGUAGACGGUACUCGGGAGGAAGUGGUAAAAUGCUUUGAUCUCUCGAUGACCACCUGUGGCGAAGGCGGUCUACCAGAACACGUCCGACGGUGAGGGAUGAAAGCUGGGGGAGCAAACCGGAUUAGAUACCCGGGUAGUCCCAGCCGUAAACUAUGCAAACUCAGUGAUGCAUUGGCUUGUGGCCAAUGCAGUGUUGCAGGGAAGCCGUUAAGUUUGCCGCCUGGGAAGUACGUACGCAAGUAUG